RNAcentral lists this transfer RNA (89 nucleotides) under Curtobacterium pusillum. RNAcentral describes it as "tRNA-Ser". Lineage: Bacteria; Bacillati; Actinomycetota; Actinomycetes; Micrococcales; Microbacteriaceae. The record is from RNAcentral.
CGUACGGCUGCUGGCCGUAGGGCUGCUGGCCGUACGGCUGCUGCCCGUACGGCUGCUGGCCGUACGGGUCCUGGUUCUGGCCGUACGGC